RNAcentral lists this ribosomal RNA (668 nucleotides) under uncultured bacterium. Its description in RNAcentral is "bacterial SSU rRNA". It matches the Rfam family "Bacterial small subunit ribosomal RNA", at positions 8 to 660 of the family's 1533-position model. The record is from RNAcentral.
AGAGUUUGAUCCUGGCUCAGAUUGAACGCUGGUGGGGGCCUAACACAUGCAAGUCGAACGGUAACAGGAAGAGCUUGGUGCUUUGCUGACGAGUGGCGGACGGGUGAGUAAUGUCUGGGAAACUGCCUGAUGGAGGGGGAUAACUACUGGAAACGGUAGCUAAUACCGCAUAACGUCGCAAGACCAAAGAGGGGGACCUUCGGGCCUCUUGCCAUCGGAUGUGCCCAGAUGGGAUUAGCUAGUAGGUGGGGUAAAGGCUCACCUAGGCGACGAUCCCUAGCUGGUCUGAGAGGAUGACCAGCCACACUGGAACUGAGACACGGUCCAGACUCCUACGUUUUUUUUUUUUUGGGGAAUAUUGCACAAUGGGCGCAAGCCUGAUGCAGCCAUGCCGCGUGUAUGAAGAACGCCUUCGGGUUGUAAAGUACUUUCAGCGGGGAGGAAGGGAGUAAAGUUAAUACCUUUGCUCAUUGACGUUACCCGCAGAAGAAGCACCGGGCUAACUCCGUGCCAGCAGCCGCGGUAAUACGGAGGGUGCAAAGCGUUAAAUCGGAAUUACUGGGCGUAAAGCGCACGCAGGCGGUUUGUUAAGUCAGAUGUGAAAUCCCCCGGGCUCAACCUGGGAAACUGCAUCUGAUACUGGGCAAGCUUGUGUCCUCGUAGAGGGG